Molecule: ribosomal RNA, 478 nt
Filed under: uncultured bacterium
Lineage: Bacteria
Description: partial 16S ribosomal RNA
Rfam family: Bacterial small subunit ribosomal RNA
Source: RNAcentral
GACGAACGCUGGCGGCGUGCUUAACACAUGCAAGUCGAGCGAUGAAGUUCCUUCGGGAAUGGAUUAGCGGCGGACGGGUGAGUAACACGUGGGUAACCUGCCUCAUAGAGGGGAAUAGCCCUUCGAAAGGAAGAUUAAUACCGCAUAAGAUUGUAGUAUCGCAUGAUACAGCAAUUAAAGGAGUAAUCCGCUAUGAGAUGGACCCGCGUCGCAUUAGCUAGUUGGUGAGGUAACGGCUCACCAAGGCGACGAUGCGUAGCCGACCUGAGAGGGUGAUCGGCCACAGUGGGACUGAGACACGGCCCAGACUCCUACGGGAGGCAGCAGUGGGGAAUAUUGCACAAUGGGGGAAACCCUGAUGCAGCAACGCCGCGGGAGUGAUGACGGUCUUCGGAUUGUAAAACUCUGUCUUCAGGGGCGAUAAUGACGGUACCUGAGGAGGAGGCCACGGCUAACUACGUGCCAGCAGCCGCAGUAA